RNAcentral lists this ribosomal RNA (291 nucleotides) under uncultured bacterium. Its description in RNAcentral is "partial 16S ribosomal RNA". It matches the Rfam family "Bacterial small subunit ribosomal RNA", at positions 333 to 641 of the family's 1533-position model. The record is from RNAcentral.
AUGUACCUACGGGAGGCAGCAGUGGGGAAUAUUGCACAAUGGGGGGAACCCUGAUGCAGCAACGCCGCGUGAGUGAAGAAGUAUUUCGGUAUGUAAAGCUCUAUCAGCAGGGAAGAAGAUGACGGUACCUGAGUAAGAAGCCCCGGCUAACUACGUGCCAGCGGCCGCGGUAAUACGUAGGGGGCAAGCGUUAUCCGGAUUUACUGGGUGUAAAGGGAGCGUAGACGGCGAGGCAAGUCUGGAGUGAAAGCCCGGGGCUCAACCCCGGGACUGCUUUGGAAACUGCCUGGC